ACCGUUCGAAGUGGCCGAAGUAUGGAGCAUAUACAGAUGUGAGUUCUUGCUUCAGUGUGCGUGGUCAGCCUAUCCCCUCCAUAGCUGUAGCGCGUUGCAUCGUGGUGCGACUGGUAUCACUGCUACGGAGUGCUCCGGUUAGUGCGUGAUACGUUGCCGACUCGGUUGGAUUCGCUCGUUGUUGUUUCGCGACGUUGAAAAACAGUGAAUGUCGUGACGCGGUAUGUGUCGAUUGUCGGUGCGUCUCGUCGACGUCGCCGCCGAACGUGUGUGAUCCAUCGCCCCGUGAAUCGUCGGCGAUCGCCCGAGGACAGUUUAAAUCGGUGUUGUUACGUAGUAUUUACGUAGUAUUUACGUAGUACCCUCGUAGUACAGACACCUUAUUGCGCGGUUUGCCUCGCCUCGUCCCGUCUUGCCUUGGCUCGCCUCGUCCAAGUCUCGUCUCGCCCGUCCGGUCGUCUCCCUGGUGUCUCGCUGGAACACGAAGGUGCAUGCUACCGUAGAUCGAGCGGAUCAGCACGCCUCGCGAUAUACAGGCGGAUGAUGUUGGAUCGCGACACGGCGAUACAUCUCGUCGCCGGAGGAGUGGCUGGCACGGCAGGAGCAAUAGUAACUUGUCCACUUGAGGUAGUAAAAACCCGAUUGCAGUCAUCAUCUUCCGGUUUUCAUCCACCACCCGUAAGCAAAGAAUUCACAUCUGGUCAUCCAACAUGCAAAGGUUCACCAACACCUGAACAACGCAGAAGGCUAUGCACUGGAUACCCCAGGUAUUCCAGUCAUUUUGUAGCUCUCUCGCAUUUUGGCGUCUCGACUUCACCUCCAGAUUCUUCCCGGCACGCGCCGGGCAUCUAUCAAUGCUUAAGGUACAUCAUCAAGAAUGAGGGUGCACGAGGACUGUUUAAAGGUCUUGGUCCGAAUCUCAUUGGCGUGGCACCUUCCAGAGCGAUCUAUUUCUGCGCGUACUCCAAAAGCAAGGUCGCGUUCAAUGCGAUUCUGCCACCUGACACUCCGAUCGUCCACGUUUUCGCCGCAUCCUGCGCUGGUUUCAUCGCGUGUACAUUGACAAAUCCGAUUUGGUUCGUAAAAACCAGACUACAGCUGGAUCACCGAUCGCAAAAAGUCACAGCGAUAGAAUGCAUGCGGAGGAUAUAUCAACAAUCGGGUAUCCUGGGAUUCUACAAAGGUAUCGUGGCAUCCUAUGUAGGCAUAAGUGAGACUGUGAUACACUUUGUGAUAUACGAAGCUGUGAAGGCAUGGCUAGCUACACAUAGGUCGCGGGCUUCUCAGACAGACGAUAGAAAGACGUUCCGUGAUUUUAUCGAAUUUAUGGCGGCAGGUUCAUUUUCGAAAACGAUAGCCUCAACUAUUGCCUAUCCUCACGAGGUCGCAAGAACCCGUUUGCGAGAAGAAGGCACCAAAUAUCGCACAUUCUGGCAAACUUUGAACACUGUAUGGAUGGAGGAGGGUAUGAAGGGUCUCUAUCGUGGCCUUGGCACUCAGCUAAUUCGACAGAUUCCAAAUACCGCUAUCAUAAUGGCAACAUACGAAGCGGUAGUGUACGUGCUGACUCGACACUUCCAUCCGGUUACAGUAAAAUCAAGUACCGAUGCGACAUCGGAAUUCUACAACGAAGCUAAAGCGAAGAGAGAGCUGGCCUAGGAUUUGCUUACGGCCCCCGAGUAAAGGGCCACCUAUCAACUAUUUCCCUCUUUUCCAGUAGACGAAUACCACACAUACUUGAGGCAGCAUAAAGUUUCGUCGCACGUCUAGGCGCAUCGAAAGCAGCUGGAAAUGCGUUCAAUGUCCUAAUCGUUGCUCCAAAAGGUACUCAAAAAGAUAGCAUGUACAUAUCCCAGGCAUGGACCCGCUGUAUCUCGCAAGGAAAGAAAGGGAAAGGGAGAGAAAAAUGAAUUAAGGAAAGCAGAUUUAGCGUCGAAAUAGACGAAGGCUGAGACUUCGCUUCUCGCGAAAAUGUGGACGUGCAUGUAUAUCAUGAACAAAUGGACUUGUAUUAUAUGCUACAAGAUUUAUUUGAUGCAAGAUUCUCUGCUCUAGAAUCAAAACUCGCUCCGAGCCCGAAACGUGUGAAGUUCACUAUAAUAGUCACUGUAGAUUUUAGAUCUCUGACGAGUUUUGAUUCCGGUGCUAUUUUUUCCACAAUUUGUAGGUUUUUUCUUGCAUCUCAUCCUUUUUUUUAUUUAUAAGAAAAGAUUUUUAAAAAAUCUGAAGCUGUAAAAUUGCAGAUGUAUAGGAAUGGAUUCUAUUUGUUACCGUACAAUGCUCGAUAAAAGAGCAGCAAAUAUAAUAGUUUGUGAUUUACACCAGGCGCUUAGAAUUUCUAAGUUGCUUCAAAUAAAAUCGCUAUGUUAGAAAGUGUUUAUUUUAAAGCUCGAUUCUCUCGUGACAUGGGUUGUGUGACGUCAGAGGCGAGAAAUGACAUGUAAAAAGUUUCUGCGUUAUAGCUAUAUCUUGUACUUUUCCCUUAAAAACAUAUUUUCGUAUUCUUAAAACUUGUAAAAAAUACCAGAAAAUAAGAUAUCUGUCCAAUAAAUCGUAAAGGUGUAAAAUAAUUCUUGUAAAAUAAUUCUUGAAAUAAUGGUCACUGUUCAGCUAUCAGAAACAACUAGAUCUAAUAAUCUGGUAAUUUCUGAUAGGUAAGCAGUAUACCAUUUUACACUUUUAUGUGAUUUAUUGGACAAAUAUCUUACUUUCUGGUAUUUUUUACAAGUUUUAAGAAUACGAAAAUAUUAUGUUUUUAAGGAAAAAGUACAGGAUAAUGCUAUACGACGCAAGAAAUUUUUUACAUGUCAUUUUUCGCCUCUGACGUUAUAAUUCAAUAUGGCUGCAGAGAGACAACCGAGUCUUAAGUGAUUCUGUUUAGACAUGAUAUAUUAUGAGUCCGUUCCUUAAAGGCUUCAAUACUUCCUCUCUAGAAUUCUAAUGAAAAUCAUAUUACAUGCUUAUAAAAUUGUGAUAAAUAUUUUGAUAUAUUGAAUUUUGUGAAAAAAUUUUUUAUUUUAUAUCCCAUUUAAAUUUUAAGUGAUGUUAUAUCAUACUUUGAGUAGUAAUAUUGAAAACAAUAAGAACUACUUUAUUCUGAUAUUAGCACAUUUAGAAAAUUUGUUAUCAAUAAUAACAUACUUGCAAAAUUGUAAAAUUAUAACUAAAUGUUUAUAAUUUUUCUAGUUCAAUUAUAUUUGUUAUGUGGCCCAUUCUGUUAUAUUUAUACAUUAUAUAUGAAGCAAUUUCAAACAAUUCUCGGAAUUAACUGAUACAAUAUUUGUAAUUAAAUAACAUAUAAAAUGAUGAAUUUUAAAUUCUGCCAAAACAUCACAACAUGAGCAGAGACAUUAAUCGUGUUAUCAUAAAUAUAUGAUAACAGUAAUAAAAAUAAUUUCAAGUUUAGUACACUAAAAAAACAAUUAUUAUCUUUUGCAAUGUAUGAUUUAGAAUGCAACAGCACAAUUGAAAAACUUCUUGCAAAA
RNAcentral lists this unclassified non-coding RNA (3485 nucleotides) under Pogonomyrmex barbatus (red harvester ant). Its description in RNAcentral is "mitochondrial carrier protein Rim2, transcript variant X1". Lineage: Eukaryota; Metazoa; Arthropoda; Insecta; Hymenoptera; Formicidae. The record is from RNAcentral.